This 497-nucleotide ribosomal RNA is filed under the name uncultured bacterium. Its description in RNAcentral is "partial 16S ribosomal RNA". It matches the Rfam family "Bacterial small subunit ribosomal RNA", at positions 28 to 507 of the family's 1533-position model. The record is from RNAcentral.
GAUGAACGCUGGCGGCGUGCCUAAUACAUGCAAGUCGAGCGAACGGACGAGAAGCUUGCUUCUCUGAUGUUAGCGGCGGAAGGGUGAGUAACACGUGGAUAACCUACCUAUAAGACUGGGAUAACUUCGGGAAACCGGAGCUAAUACCGGAUAAUAUUUUGAACCGCAUGGUUCAAAAGUGACAGACGGUCUUGCUGUCACUUAUAGAUGGAUCCGCGCUGCAUUAGCUAGUUGGUAAGGUAACGGCUUACCAAGGCAACGAUGCAUAGCCGACCCGAGAGCGUGUACGGCCACUCUGGAACUGAGACGCGGUCCUGACUCCUACGGGCGGCAGCAGUAGGUAAUCUUCCGCGAUGGGCGAAAGCCUGACGGAGCAACGCCGCGUGAGUGAUGAAGGUCCUCGGAUCGUAAAACUCUGUUAGUAGGGAAGACCAUAUGUGUAAGUAACUGUGCACAUCUUGACGGUACCUAAUCAGAAAGCCACGGCUAACUACGUG